UGAGAUAGAGGUUGCGUUAGCUAUUAGUAGCAUUCUGGAUGUGGCAGGCACAGAAGAAGGUUUGUGAAAGGGGUAUACGCCGAAAGAAUCGGAUGUCUGUAGUCUGAUUCUUGGGCAUGCAUUUAAGAGAUGCAUGACUGUCAUCGAUGAGAUGGGGCGCUAUC
RNAcentral lists this non-coding RNA (164 nucleotides) under pig gut metagenome. Its description in RNAcentral is "Lysine riboswitch". It matches the Rfam family "Lysine riboswitch aptamer". Rfam says of the family: Riboswitches are metabolite binding domains within certain messenger RNAs that serve as precision sensors for their corresponding targets. The record is from RNAcentral.